Long non-coding RNA from Pezoporus flaviventris, 169 nucleotides. RefSeq lists it as uncharacterized. The transcript has 2 exons. NCBI's taxonomy places the organism in Eukaryota, Metazoa, Chordata, Aves, Psittaciformes, Psittacidae. The record is from RefSeq and is a predicted model, not a curated record.
AGAUCCCGCACGGACCCUCCUUUGUAGGAUCUGAAUUUUCGAAGAUCUGCAAAAGAAAUGACAGGAUUUCUGCUUGUGCUUUGGUGCAGUUUUAGUUGCUGGCUUCAAGUCAACUGCUUGACUAUAGGACCAUCUAAAGAUUCUUUCUCUAUCCGGUCACUAACAUCCU